This is a long non-coding RNA of Artibeus jamaicensis (Jamaican fruit-eating bat), 1208 nucleotides long. RefSeq lists it as uncharacterized. The transcript is spliced from 2 exons. The record is from RefSeq and is a predicted model, not a curated record. Lineage: Eukaryota; Metazoa; Chordata; Mammalia; Chiroptera; Phyllostomidae.
UCUUCCUCCCUCUUCUGCUUCUAAGGACCCUUGUGAUGGCACCGGUGCAUCGGGACAACUCUGGAGAUCAGCUGACAGUCAGCCUGGAUUCCACCUGCGACCUGGCUUCUCCUUGGUCAGCAUGUCAGCAAGCCCUGGGGAUUAGGACGAGAACGUCUUUGGGGGCCGUCUUCAUACCCCGCCCCCAGACGCCGUGCCUCUUCUCUCAGCUGUGGGCUCCCUGGGCCUCGGCUGAGUCUCACUUAUCCAGAGCCUCCUGAGUGCCCAGCCUGAGCUGGUUGUUCACCCCCCGCUUGUUGGAUGAAUCUGAUUCGACUAACACUUUACAGAGAGUCCACUCUGUGCUGGGUUCUCCCACGGCUGCCAUCAGUGUUCAGUCUUGUUUCACCGCAGAGGAAAAUGGGGCUCAGAGAAGUGAGGAGCCGCCCAGGCCGGGAAGCUGGUGAGUGGCAGAGCCCCAGCUGCAGGUCCACUUACCUCGGGCAGAGCAGGCCGGCACCUCGGUUCCUUCGGGUCCGGAGCCCCCAAGGACAGAGGCCCUUAGAACGCAGGUGCGGGCCGUGGAGACACACCUCUCGAUUACAGGCUGGCCCGUGCUGCGGUGACACCCAUCGCUGUCUGCACUGCGUUUGUUUUUCGCACGGAUGCCCCACCAGCCUCGACGCUUGCUUAGACCUGACCUGCAUCCUGGUCUGAAGUCCUUCCCAGCCGCCUGCCCGUCUUUCCUCACACGUGUUUCCCUCCAAAUCUCUUGUACAUGGAAUCUCGCCUUGCUGUCUGCUUCUUCGAGGGCCAGAACUAACAUGAGUGUGGGAGCAGAUAACGCUGAGUGGCAGGCUCCAGACGGACUGAUGGAGUUGCAGGGCCCCUGAUAAGCCUGGACGCUCAGCCAGCAAUUCGGAGGUCGAAGGUCAGGCCCCGGUGGUGAAAACCUGGAACCCUGGCAUGUGAGAUGGAGACAUGUUGGGGGUGUCCCUGCGGACGUGGGGCUGCAGCCUCCCGCACCCCCUGGGCUCGCAGCGGUGGCCCACCCUUCCUUGUAGGAGCUACACCUCCGCUGUCCUGAGGUGCACAGAGGCCUCACCCCACAGGGCAACGGGCGCUCCCGCAGGAGUGGCCCCGACUUCCUCCCCUGACUGCCAAGGACAGUGCUCAGGGCUGUGUUCCAGAAUGACCUGGCUGUGGACACACUGGGUCUGGAAAGGGAG